GGGCUAAAGUUUCGACACUAAAUAUCUCACCUUUAGUUCCGGUGGGUAACAGCAACCGAGACUAAAAGGUGCGCCAGGGUGUGCCACCUGGCCUCCACUUUUAGUCCCGGUUGUUGCUACCAACCGGGACUAAAGACUUUUUUCUUUUUUUUUCAUUUGGUUUUCCAUUUAGGGUUUACAAUUAUGUUAUUAUUAUUUUCGAAUGCGUAUUGUUUGCUGGUAGUUUAUGGAACGCGCACCUAUAAUUUAUAUAAUUUAUAAAACACUAUAUAUAUAUAAUAUGUAUCUAUAGGUCCAUAAUAUAAUAUUUACACAUAUGCUUCACGGACAAAGUAUUUACAACACAAUUUAUCUCCGGCACUCAAGCAUCGUACAAAUGAUCAUCGUUAUUUGGUUUCAUCUGCUCCUGAGGGUUGAAGUAGCACUCGCCGCCGGGAUCUAGGACUUGGUCGUUAAGAAAUCCUGCGAUUGUCUCCUGAAUUCCUUUUAGGCGCACCGCAUCCAACACCUGCUCCUUCAGUCACAUCUCCUUUAAUAGACAUUAAAGAAAAAAGUUAGAGGUAUGAAUAGGAUUUAUUAAAUAGCAACAAAUAAAUGAAAUAAACUUAUUAUAUAUACAUGUUACAUACUUUUAGGUGCUCAAGAUUAGUUAUUUUGGCAUACACCGUCAUAAACUCACACACAUAGUAGUCACACAAAUUGUUGCCCGGUGUCUGCCGUAGAACCCACUGAAGUAAGAUGGGCUUUGAAAGUGCUGCAUUCAACUCUGGACGGUGUUUCUGCACGAACCCAGCCCAAACCCUAGCAAUAAAACGAUCAUUAUUAAUUAUCCAUUACCA
RNAcentral lists this long non-coding RNA (839 nucleotides) under Sorghum bicolor (sorghum). RNAcentral describes it as "long non-coding RNA (SBIC_LNC017550)". Lineage: Eukaryota; Viridiplantae; Streptophyta; Magnoliopsida; Poales; Poaceae. The record is from RNAcentral.